UGCAUCGCCGUUGGACUCUCGCCUGUCUUCUCUGAAGGAUCCAUGGGAUAGUCCCGCGAUCCUAGAAGUGUGCUGGGGCGACCCAGCCUGAAGAAACCUCAAGCGGAGCCCAAGGGAUACAGCGCAAAAUUCCUAAGGAUCCGCAGGAUGCUUCAGGCCUGCCUAGACGGUGUGGGUGUGAGUCUCCUUGAAACUUGCCCCCCUGUGAUUUCUAGGGCCUAUUGAAUUCACUUCGAAAUCCGUUGCCAGCAGAGCAGGAGCUUCAGGUGGGGAGGCGAGCACUCCUCCAUCGUCUUGGUAUUUCAUUCUGGUCGGAGAGGUCCGAUACGGGCUUGAAAUCGCCCUUAGACAGCCUCUGAGACACUUUCUCAACCUCACCUGCCCCGGUGGGAUGCCAACUCCAGGUGUCAGACCUCUGCUCCACCUUGGACUAGCCUUUGUCGUGGUUCCUGCCUUUCCCAGACGACCGUGCUGAGAAGCAGGAGCCCCUGUGAGGCCCAGGAUGAAGGAAGACAGUGAGCUUAAGGACACAGGAAUCUUCCGCUAGCACCAUCAUCCAGAAUUUUAACUAAAAUUCCAUCUCAAAGAGACCCCUCAAAAACUCACAAGACU
This 612-nucleotide long non-coding RNA is filed under the name Homo sapiens (human). RNAcentral's name for it is "non-protein coding lnc-ZNF273-1:2". The record is from RNAcentral. Lineage: Eukaryota; Metazoa; Chordata; Mammalia; Primates; Hominidae.